Molecule: ribosomal RNA, 253 nt
Filed under: uncultured bacterium
Lineage: Bacteria
Description: partial 16S ribosomal RNA
Rfam family: Bacterial small subunit ribosomal RNA
Source: RNAcentral
UACGUAGGGCGCAAGCGUUGUCCGGAAUUAUUGGGCGUAAAGAGCUCGUAGGCGGUCUGUCGCGUCUGCCGUGAAAGCCCGAGGCUUAACCUCGGGCUGGCGGUGGAUACGGGCAGACUAGAGGUAGGUAGGGGAGAAUGGAAUUCCCGGUGUAGCGGUGAAAUGCGCAGAUAUCGGGAGGAACACCGGUGGCGAAGGCGGUUCUCUGGGCCUUACCUGACGCUGAGGAGCGAAAGCGUGGGGAGCGAACAGG